UACAGAGGCCAGGUUACACAGCCCUUUGUCAACUCAUUAUUGGUGGACAGCUCAUCUCCCCAACAGAAGUGGAUGCACGUAUUUCUUGGCACAGCAAUUUCCAAGGUACCAGGCGUCCCCAUCCUCUAGGGCUGUGGACCACUGCAAGGAAUGAGCUGCACCUCAGGAGAAGGCGAUUCUCCUCAAUGGGACUGAGAUAAUCUUCAAAUAUCCACUGACUACGGUG
This is a long non-coding RNA of Fukomys damarensis (Damara mole-rat), 226 nucleotides long. RefSeq lists it as uncharacterized. The transcript has 3 exons. The record is from RefSeq and is a predicted model, not a curated record. NCBI's taxonomy places the organism in Eukaryota, Metazoa, Chordata, Mammalia, Rodentia, Bathyergidae.